Notothenia coriiceps (black rockcod) is the source of this 260-nucleotide long non-coding RNA. RefSeq lists it as uncharacterized. NCBI's taxonomy places the organism in Eukaryota, Metazoa, Chordata, Actinopteri, Perciformes, Nototheniidae. The transcript has 3 exons. The record is from RefSeq and is a predicted model, not a curated record.
GACGCUCUGUACUCACAUGCAGUCUGCACUGAGAGGAGCAUUUAGUGACCGAGACUCAGAGAGAGAGGAUCUGAAACAUGAACGACAUCAAGCUCGCCCUGCUGGGGAGCCAAGGGGCCGGGAAGUCAGCUGUCCUCGUGCGGUUCCUGACCCGGCGCUUCAUCGGGGAAUAUGCCUCCAACGCCAAUUCCCUGUACCAUAAAAGGCUCUCGAUUGAUGGGCGACAGCUGAAUCUGGAGGUGUUUGACCCCUGCUCUGAG